RNAcentral lists this ribosomal RNA (698 nucleotides) under Candida albicans. Its description in RNAcentral is "partial large subunit ribosomal RNA". The stretch from base 1 to 587 matches the Rfam family "Eukaryotic large subunit ribosomal RNA", at positions 68 to 664 of the family's 3401-position model. Lineage: Eukaryota; Fungi; Ascomycota; Pichiomycetes; Serinales; Debaryomycetaceae. The record is from RNAcentral.
ACACGGAGGGUUUUGGCAUUAGUAAACGGCGAGUGAGCGGCAAAAGCUCAAAUUUGAAAUCUGGCACCUUCGGUGUCCGAGUUGUAAUUUGAAGAAGGUAACUUUGGAGUUGGCUCUUGUCUAUGUUCCUUGGAACAGGACGUCACAGAGGGUGAGAAUCCCGUGCGAUGAGAUGCCCAAUUCUAUGUAAAGUGCUUUCGAAGAGUCGAGUUGUUUGGGAAUGCAGCUCUAAGUGGGUGGUAAAUUCCAUCUAAAGCUAAAUAUUGGCGAGAGACCGAUAGCGAACAAGUACAGUGAUGGAAAGAUGAAAAGAACUUUGAAAAGAGAGUGAAAAAGUACGUGAAAUUGUUGAAAGGGAAGGGCUUGAGAUCAGACUUGGUAUUUUGCGAUCCUUUCCUUCUUGGUUGGGUUCCUCGCAGCUUACUGGGCCAGCAUCGGUUUGGAUGGUAGGAUAAUGACUAAGGAAUGUGGCUCUACUUCGGUGGAGUGUUAUAGCCUUGGUUGAUACUGCCUGUCUAGACCGAGGACUGCGUCUUUUGACUAGGAUGUUGGCAUAAUGAUCUUAAGCCACCCGUCUUAAAAACCGGGACCAAAAAAAAAAAAUAAAAAAUAAAGCCCCAAUAAAAAACCCACCCCUCCCUUUGUUUUAUUCCAGGCAAACUCCAAACACCUUUUAAGUAGAAACCCGCCUUACCUGG